CACGUAAUUAUCCGGGGCUUUCUUCUCCUAUACCGACACACACCACGCGAUUACUCCUCUUGCUGUUCUUCUAAGGCAACGUAGCUUUACAAUACGAAAACCUUCAUCACUCGCCCGGAGUUGCUCCGUCAGACUUGCGUCCAUUGCGCUGAUUCC
Molecule: ribosomal RNA, 156 nt
Filed under: uncultured bacterium
Lineage: Bacteria
Description: partial 16S ribosomal RNA
Source: RNAcentral